This 1810-nucleotide long non-coding RNA is filed under the name Homo sapiens (human). RNAcentral's name for it is "HSALNT0173155". The record is from RNAcentral. Lineage: Eukaryota; Metazoa; Chordata; Mammalia; Primates; Hominidae.
CAUAAAUGCUACUUCCUAUUUUUUUUACUUUCACUGCUUACUUUCUUAUAUAUACUAAUUUGCCUAUUUACAUUGAUAUGCAAAAAUGAGCUGAAGACUAGCAUUAAAUAUUCCUGAGAAAAUAUUUAUUUCUUUAUCAUCAGGUUGUGUAAUAUUGUGUAAUUGGCUUAUCUUUCCUGUGUCUCAGUAUAACAGCCUUGGAGAUGUGCCCAUCAGAUCUCACUUUACUGGGUCCUCCUUCCCUGCCAGUCAGUGACUGAGCCAGUUUCCAAACUCUUGUAUCACUUCUUGUUUUCUUGGACCACUUGAAGUGGUCCAAGCUCUGUAGGGAGGGUUGAGUUCCUGGACAUUGAACUUGUGCAUUUGCAAAGGGGCCCACAUUUGAUAAAAUGUUCUGCUCUCAACCUCUUAAAAUUAUUAUUAUUAUUAUUUUUUUUUUUUUUUGAGAUGGAGUUUCACACUGUCACCCGGGCUGGAGUUGUGCAAUCUCAGCUCACUGCAACCUCCGCCUCCUGGGUUCAAGCAAUUCUCCUGCCUCAGCCUCCCUAGUAGCUGGGAUUACAGGUGCCCACUACCACGCCCAGGUAUUUUUUUGUAUUUUUAGUAGAGGCGGUGUUUCACCAUGUUGGCCAGGCUGGUCUCGAACUCCUGACCUUGUGAUCGGCCCACCUCAGCCCCCAAAGUACUGGGAUUACAGGCGCGAGCCACCGCACCCAGCCUUAAAAUUCUUAAUAAUUAUAUCGUUGAACUUAUUUAUGUUGGGUAAGCGAAGGCCUAUGGGAUAAUGAAGCAUGCAUGUCCCCUCCUUAAGGGAUCCUAUUAUAUCCUUUCUUAUGCAUGUUACUUUCCUGUAUUAAUCAAACCUUUAAAGUUAAAAGUAUAAAAGAAGGCAAAGGAAAGAUAGGGCAAAUCAUAGCUCCUGUUUUUAUUGCUUCUUUCUUGUAAAUGAAAAAACAUUCUGGUAGAACAUGCAGGUAUCAAGAAGUGAAAUAAAAAGUGAAAUUGGUUUUGUGCAGUGCUUCCACUCUUCUGGGAACAAAUUGUAUAUACAUAUGCAAGCUACAAAAAUAGGAAUUGUGUAAUUGCAGUGAUUUUGUAUACAAAUUAUGAGCUCUUACAUUAUGUUUGAAACUGGCACUGCACCAAAUAAAUAUGAAUGGUAAUGCUAACUAUUUAAAUUUUAUUUUUUCCAUAAGUAGAACCACAUUAAAUAGCAAAUUAAGCAAAAUAAAGAAACCUUUAUAGCAUGUUGAGAGAGGAUGUGGGAGAAAAAAAUGCUUUAUAUAUUAGUUUGUUUAAUGGCUCAUUUUUCUUAAACAAGGGACCCCACAUUUUGAUCUUGCAAUGGACCCUACAUAUUAUAGAGGUGGUUUUGUUUACAUAUUUAGAUGUGCUGGCCCCCAAAGGGAGAACACUCCUAUAAGAGGAUACAACAAAGCUUCCGUUGGGCUACAUGGUAUGGCAGCAACAAAGGAACUUUGAAUUACUGACAUCCAGUGAUCAUCAGAUAUAUGCAAAGUAAAGAACAUGUUUAAACUGCUCCCUGCCAGCUGGCUGCGUUCACUCCUGACCCAGUAAUCUGUGACUUUCUGGACUCCUGUGAGAGAAAAGUUUCAGCCAAGAUGAUAUCCACAGAAAGAAUAAUUUGAUAUAUUGCUUUUUAUGUUUCUCUGACAGUACAAUAGCUUGUAACUUUCUUUCACUGCCAUAAAGGGAAAUAAUAUAGAGAGAGCAUAUAUACACAUACAUAUAUAGUGUGUUAAAUCAUUUAUUGAGAAAACAAUCUUUUGAAUACUUCUAUGUCAGAAAU